UAAGGAAUAUUGCUCAAUGGGAGAAAUCCUGAAGCAGCAACGCCGCGUGGAGGAUGAAGGGUCUAUGACUUGUAAACUCCUGUAAAGAAGGAAAAAAUUCCCAUUAGAUGGGAGAUGAUGGUACUUCUGGAGUAAGCCCCGGCUAACUACGUGCCAGCAGCCGCGGUAAUACGUAGGGGACAAGCGUUGUCCGGAUUUACUGGGUGUAAAGGGUGCUCAGGCGGAUUUGUAAGUCAGAGGUGAAAUCUUACAGCUUAACUGUGAAACUGCCUUUGAUACUGCAAGCCUAGAGUAUGGAAGAGAGUGAUGGAAUAUCUGGUGUAGCAGUGAAAUGCGUAGAUAUCAGAUAGAACACCAAUGGCGAAGGCAGUCACUUGGUCCAUUACUGACGCUAAAGCACGAAAGCGUGGGUAGCAAACA
This 420-nucleotide ribosomal RNA is filed under the name uncultured bacterium. RNAcentral's name for it is "bacterial SSU rRNA". It matches the Rfam family "Bacterial small subunit ribosomal RNA", at positions 355 to 774 of the family's 1533-position model. The record is from RNAcentral.